RNAcentral lists this ribosomal RNA (429 nucleotides) under Gemmatimonadota bacterium. RNAcentral describes it as "Gemmatimonadetes bacterium partial 16S ribosomal RNA". It matches the Rfam family "Bacterial small subunit ribosomal RNA", at positions 355 to 776 of the family's 1533-position model. The record is from RNAcentral. Lineage: Bacteria; Pseudomonadati; Gemmatimonadota.
UAGGGAAUCUUCGGCAAUGGACGAAAGUCUGACCGAGCAACGCCGCGUGAGUGAAGAAGGUUUUCGGAUCGUAAAACUCUGUUGUUAGAGAAGAACAAGGACGUUAGUAACUGAAUGUCCCCUGACGGUAUCUAACCAGAAAGCCACGGCUAACUACGUGCCAGCAGCCGCGGUAAUACGUAGGUGGCAAGCGUUGUCCGGAUUUAUUGGGCGUAAAGCGAGCGCAGGCGGUUUCUUAAGUCUGAUGUGAAAGCCCCCGGCUCAACCGGGGAGGGUCAUUGGAAACUGGGGGACUUGAGUGCAGAAGAGGAGAGUGGAAUUCCAUGUGUAGCGGUGAAAUGCGUAGAUAUAUGGAGGAACACCAGUGGCGAAGGCAGCUCUCUGGUCUGUAACUGACGCUGAGGCUCGAAAGCGUGGGGAGCAAACAGG